CCUACGGGUGGCAGCAGUGGGGAAUAUUGGGCAAUGGGCGCAAGCCUGACCCAGCAACGCCGCGUGAAGGAAGAAGGCUUUCGGGUUGUAAACUUCUUUUCUCAGGGACGAAGCAAGUGACGGUACCUGAGGAAUAAGCCACGGCUAACUACGUGCCAGCAGCCGCGGUAAUACGUAGGUGGCAAGCGUUAUCCGGAUUUACUGGGUGUAAAGGGCGUGUAGGCGGGGACGCAAGUCAGAUGUGAAAACCACGGGCUCAACCUGUGGCCUGCAUUUGAAACUGUGUUUCUUGAGUACUGGAGAGGCAGACGGAAUUCCUAGUGGAGCGGUGAAAUGCGUAGAUAGUAGGGGGGACCCCAGUGGCGAAGGCGGUCUGCUGGACAGCAACUGACGCCGGGGCGCGAAAGCGUUGGGAGCAAACAGGAUUAGAUACCCGUGUAGUC
RNAcentral lists this ribosomal RNA (443 nucleotides) under uncultured bacterium. RNAcentral describes it as "partial 16S ribosomal RNA". It matches the Rfam family "Bacterial small subunit ribosomal RNA", at positions 338 to 795 of the family's 1533-position model. The record is from RNAcentral.